AGUGAACGCUGGCGGUAGGCCUAACACAUGCAAGUCGAACGGCAGCACAGAGGAGCUUGCUCCUUGGGUGGCGAGUGGCGGACGGGUGAGGAAUACAUCGGAAUCUACUUUUUCGUGGGGGAUAACGUAGGGAAACUUACGCUAAUACCGCAUACGACCUACGGGUGAAAGCAGGGGAUCUUCGGACCUUGCGCGAUUGAAUGAGCCGAUGUCGGAUUAACUAGUUGGCGGGGUAAAGGCCCACCAAGGCGACGAUCCGUAGCUGGUCUGAGAGGAUGAUCAGCCACACUGGAACUGAGACACGGUCCAGACUCCUACGGGAGGCAGCAGUGGGGAAUAUUGGACAAUGGGCGCAAGCCUGAUCCAGCCAUACCGCGUGGGUGAAGAAGGCCUUCGGGUUGUAAAGCCCUUUUGUUGGGAAAGAAAUCCAGCUGGUUAAUACCCGGUUGGGAUGACGGUACCCAAAGAAUAAGCACCGGCUAACUUCGUGCCAGCAGCCGCAGUAA
RNAcentral lists this ribosomal RNA (506 nucleotides) under uncultured bacterium. Its description in RNAcentral is "partial 16S ribosomal RNA". It matches the Rfam family "Bacterial small subunit ribosomal RNA", at positions 29 to 523 of the family's 1533-position model. The record is from RNAcentral.